UGAAGAUGCAGAUCUUAAUUGUGUUUAGAGAUAAAGCCUCAGAUAUAGGUCGCAGGGCGUGGAAUGCAAGCCUGGCUUUAUUUAUUAGGCUUCUUACAUCUUCAUCUGUACCUCCAUCUUUGCUGACUAUACUGCCAAGUGUUGCCCAAGGUGGUGUUAAGCUGACCUCAGAGUGAAGCAAGAUACUGAAGACAGCAGCACAAGGUGCUGAUUUUAUUUGACCCUUCUUCUUCCAGACAUAAUGUCUCCACAUAGUACUCUACUGUGUGAUUGCACAGAGCGGUCACUUUAAUCGUGCCCAGACCUUGUACGACUGGUUUGUGGGCUUACGACAGAGACCACUGACUUUCGGACGAAUGAAUUUUCAGGUAUGCAAAUAAACCUUGUUGGUUUCAAGAUGGAUUUUAUAUGAAAUACGAAAUUAUUGUAAAGUGUCAUUACAAUGAUUGAGAAUUACAAAAUGAAGACAAUCAUGAACAUUUCUUUAACUUUUUUUGUUUGUGACUUAAAAAACUUGGAACCUAUGAAAACAUUUUGCAAUGACAGAGAUGAAGGCCAGAGAUUCCUCUACAUCACAUGGCAGUUGUCAUCAGCUGUUUAGGCAUAUACAGAUGACAAUAUUCACACUCAGAACUGGACACAACAGAUUAAAUCACCAGCUGCACAAAAAAACCUUCGUCUUGUCAUUUCUGUGCAGAAGCAGAUCAGACAUCCUGGAAAAGUCUUUUGUCCUUAAAUUAAAGGAAGCGUGGCAGUUACUGCAGCACUAACUGUACGGUGUUGUGGAGACUUUGCUAGAAACCUUUAUUCAAUCAAGACCUUCAACUGACAUAACAUGCAAAAGAAAAAAAAAA
Pomacea canaliculata is the source of this 854-nucleotide long non-coding RNA. RefSeq lists it as uncharacterized. The record is from RefSeq and is a predicted model, not a curated record. The transcript has 4 exons. NCBI's taxonomy places the organism in Eukaryota, Metazoa, Mollusca, Gastropoda, Architaenioglossa, Ampullariidae.